This is a non-coding RNA of Tinamus guttatus (white-throated tinamou), 263 nucleotides long. The record is from RefSeq and is a predicted model, not a curated record. Lineage: Eukaryota; Metazoa; Chordata; Aves; Tinamiformes; Tinamidae.
GCUUUCUUUCUCUUUGAAUCUAGUAUAUCACAGCUGACCAGUAUGAAUGAGCAAGAGGAAGUGUUACUGGAGCAGUUUGUGAAUCUGCCACAGCUGAAGCAAGUCAUUACAGACAGAGAUGAAUUAGUGACAAGUAUUGAAGAGCUGGCAAAAAAAAAUUUGUUGUUGGAGCCUAGCUUAGAGGCAAAAAGACAGACAGUGUUGGAUAAAUAUGAGCAACUCACACAGAUGAAAGCAGCCUUUGAGAAAAAGAUGCAAAGACA